Molecule: ribosomal RNA, 379 nt
Filed under: uncultured cyanobacterium
Lineage: Bacteria; Bacillati; Cyanobacteriota
Description: bacterial SSU rRNA
Rfam family: Bacterial small subunit ribosomal RNA
Source: RNAcentral
CGAAAGCCUGACGGAGCAACGCCGCGUGAGGGAUGAAGGCCUCUGGGCUGUAAACCUCUUUUCUCAAGGAAGAAGAUCUGACGGUACUUGAGGAAUAAGCCACGGCUAAUUCCGUGCCAGCAGCCGCGGUAAUACGGGAGUGGCAAGCGUUAUCCGGAAUUAUUGGGCGUAAAGCGUCCGCAGGCGGCCGUACAAGUCUGUCGUUAAAGCGUGGAGCUUAACUCCAUUUGAGCGAUGGAAACUGUAAGGCUUGAGUGUGGUAGGGGCAGAGGGAAUUCCCGGUGUAGCGGUGAAAUGCGUAGAUAUCGGGAAGAACACCAGUGGCGAAGGCGCUCUGCUGGGCCAUAACUGACGCUCAUGGUCGAAAGCCAGGGGAGCG